GCUAGGCAUGGUGGUGCAUGCCUUUAAUCCCAGCAGCUUGGGAGGCAGAGGCAGGAGGAUAGAAAGUUCAAAGGCAGCUUCAGCAAUUUAGUGAAGCCCUCAGCAACUCAGUGAGACCCUGUCUCAA
Molecule: small RNA, 127 nt
Filed under: Marmota monax (woodchuck)
Lineage: Eukaryota; Metazoa; Chordata; Mammalia; Rodentia; Sciuridae
Source: RNAcentral